GUGGAUUAGAUACCCUGGUAGUCCACGCCCUAAACGAUGUCUUCUAGUUGUCGGGUCUUAAUUGACUUGGUAACGCAGCUAACGCGUGAAGUAGACCGCCUGGGGAGUACGGUCGCAAGAUUAAAACUCAAAGGAAUUGACGGGGACCCGCACAAGCGGUGGAUGAUGUGGAUUAAUUCGAUGCAACGCGAAAAACCUUACCUACCCUUGACAUGUCAGGAAGCCUGGAGAGAUCCGGGUGUGCCCGAAAGGGAGCCUGAACACAGGUGCUGCACGGCCGUCGUCAGCU
RNAcentral lists this ribosomal RNA (289 nucleotides) under uncultured bacterium. Its description in RNAcentral is "partial 16S ribosomal RNA". It matches the Rfam family "Bacterial small subunit ribosomal RNA", at positions 773 to 1060 of the family's 1533-position model. The record is from RNAcentral.